This 389-nucleotide ribosomal RNA is filed under the name uncultured bacterium. RNAcentral's name for it is "bacterial SSU rRNA". It matches the Rfam family "Bacterial small subunit ribosomal RNA", at positions 31 to 416 of the family's 1533-position model. The record is from RNAcentral.
AUAGAACGCUGGCGGCAUGCUUUACACAUGCAAGUCGAACGGCAGCACGGGGGCAACCCUGGUGGCGAGUGGCGAACGGGUGAGUAACACAUCGGAACGUGCCCAGUUGUGGGGGAUAACCUAUCGAAAGGUAGGCUAAUACCGCAUGAGCUCGGCAAGAGGAAAGCGGGGGACUCAGCGAUGGGCCUCGCGCGACUGGAGCGGCCGAUGUCCGAUUAGCUAGUGGUGGGGUAAAGGCUUACCAAGGCGACGAUCGGUAGCUGGUCUGAGAGGAUGAUCAGCCACACUGGGACUGAGACACGGCCCAGACUCCUACGGGAGGCAGCAGUGGGGAAUUUUGGACAAUGGGGCAACCCUGAUCCAGCCAUGCCGCGUGAGUGAAGAAGGCC